UACGUAGGGUGCAAGCGUUAAUCGGAAUUACUGGGCGUAAAGCGUGCGCAGGCGGUGAUGUAAGACAGGUGUGAAAGCCCCGGGCUCAACCCGGGAGGGUCGUGGCGAACUGGGAGGCUUGAGGCCGGUAGAGGUGGGUGGAACUCCUGGUGGAGUGGUGAAAUGCGUAGAGAUCAGGAAGAACACCUGUGGUGUAGACAGCUUACUGGACCGCUUCUGACGCUGAGACACGAAAGCGUGGGUAGCAAACAGG
RNAcentral lists this ribosomal RNA (253 nucleotides) under uncultured bacterium. Its description in RNAcentral is "partial 16S ribosomal RNA". It matches the Rfam family "Bacterial small subunit ribosomal RNA", at positions 524 to 776 of the family's 1533-position model. The record is from RNAcentral.